UUGACGGAGAGUUUGAUCCUGGCUCAGGACGAACGCUGGCGGCGUGCUUAACACAUGCAAGUCGAACGAGAUCCAUGGUGUAGCAAUACACCGGAAGAUCUAGUGGCGAACGGGUGAGGAUCACGUGAGAAACCUGCCCCAGACUUUGGGAUAACAAGUGGAAACGCUUGCUAAUACCGAAUGACGUCGGAGAACCGCAUGGUUCACUGACGAAAGGAAUUCCGGUUUGGGAGGGUCUCGCGGCCUAUCAGCUUGUUGGUGGGGUAAUGGCCUACCAAGGCAACGACGGGUAGCUGGUCUGAGAGGAUGAUCAGCCACACUGGGACUGAGACACGGCCCAGACUCCUACGGGAGGCAGCAGUGGGGAAUCUUGCGCAAU
RNAcentral lists this ribosomal RNA (379 nucleotides) under Actinomycetota bacterium. RNAcentral describes it as "bacterial SSU rRNA". It matches the Rfam family "Bacterial small subunit ribosomal RNA", at positions 1 to 372 of the family's 1533-position model. Lineage: Bacteria; Bacillati; Actinomycetota. The record is from RNAcentral.